GUUUUCCGAGUAGAGUGGCGAACGGGUGAGUAACGCGUAGGUAAUCUAUCUUCAAGCGGGGGACAGCCCCGGGAAACCGGGAUUAAUACCGCAUGUGUCCAUUGAUUUGUUUCAAUGGGUAAAAGUGGCCUCUGUUUCAAGCUACUGUUUGAAGUUGAGCCUGCGUCCUAUUAGUUAGUUGGUAAGGUAAGAGCUUACCAAGGCGAUGAUAGGUAGGCGGCCUUAACGGGUGGUCGCCCACACUGGGAUUGAGAUACGGCCCAGACUCCUACGGGAGGCAGCAGUCGAGAAUAGUCUACAAUGGGGUAAUACCCUGAUAGUGCGACGCCGCGUGGACGAAGAAGCAUUUCGGUGUGUAAAGUCCUUUUCUAUGUGAGCAAGACUCAGAAGGAGAAUAUUUUUUUGAGUUUGAUAUUAGCAUAGGAAUAAGCCACGGCUAACUCCGUGCCAGCAGCCGCGGUAACACGGGGGUGGCAAGCGUUGUCCGGAAUUACUAGGCGUAAAGUGCAAUAAGGCGGAGAUGUAAGUCAGAUGUAAAAGGCACCGGCUCAACCGGUGUGACGCAUUUGAUACUGUGUUUCUGGAGUAAGGUGGAGGGAGACGGAAUUCCUGGUGUAGCGGUGGAAUGCGUAGAUAUCAGGAAGAACACCAAAGGCGCAGGCAGUUUUCCAUACCAUUACUGACGCUGAUUUGCGAAGGUGUGGGUAUCGAACAGGAUUAGAUACCCUGGUAGUCCACACAGUAAACGAUAAACACUAGGUGUUGGAGAUGUACAAAGUCAUCAGUGCCGUAGCUAACGCGUUAAGUGUUUCGCCUGGGGAGUACGAUCGCAAGGUUUAAACUCAAAGGAAUUGACGGGGGCCCGCACGAGCGGUGGAGCAUGUGGUUUAAUUCGAUGCAACGCGAAGAACCUUACCUGGGUUUGACAUCCGCGGAAAGAGACAGAGAUGUUUUUGUGCCUCUUCGGAGGAACCGCGAGACAGGUGCUGCAUGGCUGUCGUCAGCUCGUGUC
RNAcentral lists this ribosomal RNA (1012 nucleotides) under uncultured bacterium. RNAcentral's name for it is "bacterial SSU rRNA". It matches the Rfam family "Bacterial small subunit ribosomal RNA", at positions 78 to 1066 of the family's 1533-position model. The record is from RNAcentral.